This 490-nucleotide ribosomal RNA is filed under the name uncultured bacterium. Its description in RNAcentral is "partial 16S ribosomal RNA". It matches the Rfam family "Bacterial small subunit ribosomal RNA", at positions 30 to 507 of the family's 1533-position model. The record is from RNAcentral.
AUUGAACGCUGGCGGCAGGCCUAACACAUGCAAGUCGAACGGUAACAGGAAGAAGCUUGCUUCUUUGCUGACGAGUGGCGGACGGGUGAGUAAUGUCUGGGAAACUGCCUGACGGAGGGGGAUAACUACUAGAAACGGUAGCUAAUACCGCAUAACGUCGCAAGACCAAAGAGGGGGACCUUCGGGCCUCUUGCCAUCGGAUGUGCCCAGAUGGGAUUAGCUUGUUGGUGGGGUAACGGCUCACCAAGGCGACGAUCCCUAGCUGGUCUGAGAGGAUGACCAGCCACACUGGAACUGAGACACGGUCCAGACUCCUACGGGAGGCAGCAGUGGGGAAUAUUGCACAAUGGGCGCAAGCCUGAUGCAGCCAUGCCGCGUGUAUGAAGAAGGCCUUCGGGUUGUAAAGUACUUUCAGCGGGGAGGAAGGGAGUAAAGUUAAUACCUUUGCUCAUUGACGUUACCCGCAGAAGAAGCACCGGCUAACUCCGUG